Non-coding RNA from Oryza barthii, 205 nucleotides. The record is from Rfam. NCBI's taxonomy places the organism in Eukaryota, Viridiplantae, Streptophyta, Magnoliopsida, Poales, Poaceae.
AAAAACAUAAACCUUGGUUUUCCGUGUCCAACUUUGGCUAUUCGUCUUAUAUGAAUUUUUUUAUAAUUCGUAUUUUCAUUGUUGUUAGACGAUAAAACAUGAUUAAUAUUUUAUACAUGACUUGUCUUUUUAAUUUUUUUUUAUAAUUUUUUUAAAUAAGACGGACGAUCAAACGUUGGGCACGGAAACCAGGGUUUGUCUUUUU